Molecule: ribosomal RNA, 355 nt
Filed under: uncultured bacterium
Lineage: Bacteria
Description: bacterial SSU rRNA
Rfam family: Bacterial small subunit ribosomal RNA
Source: RNAcentral
GUGAGUAGUUCAGAGUUUGAUCCUGGCUCAGGACGAACGCUGGCGGCAUGCCUAACACAUGCAAGUCGAACGGAACUUGUUGAAUGAAGUUUUCGGAUGGAUUUUGACAAGUUUAGUGGCGGACGGGUGAGUAACGCGUGAGCAACCUGCCUUUCAGAGGGGGACAACAGUUGGAAACGACUGCUAAUACCGCAUGAUGUGUCGGGAUCGCAUGAUCCUGACACCAAAGAUUUUAUCGCUGAAAGAUGGGCUCGCGUACGAUUAGAUAGUUGGUGAGGUAACGGCUCACCAAGUCGACGAUCGUUAGCCGGUCUGAGAGGAUGAACGGCCACAUUGGGACUGAGAUACGGCCCAG